Molecule: ribosomal RNA, 305 nt
Filed under: uncultured Geotrichum
Lineage: Eukaryota; Fungi; Ascomycota; Dipodascomycetes; Dipodascales; Dipodascaceae
Description: partial 18S ribosomal RNA
Source: RNAcentral
CACGUAAUCAACGCAAGCUGAUGACUUGCGCUUACUAGGAAUUCCUCGUUGAAGAGCAAUAAUUGCAAUGCUCUAUCCCCAGCACGACGGAGUUUCACAAGAUUACCCAUACCUCUCGGCACAGGUUAGACUCGCUGGCUCCGUCAGUGUAGCGCGCGUGCGGCCCAGAACGUCUAAGGGCAUCACAGACCUGUUAUUGCCUCAAACUUCCAUCGACUUGAAAAUCGAUAGUCCCUCUAAGAAGCUGUCAAAACAAUAAUCUAUUGUUACAGCUAUUUAGCAGGUUAAGGUCUCUUCGUUAUCGA